AGGACUAACGCUGGCGGCGUGCCUAACACAUGCAAGUCGAACGAGAGUAGCAAUACUCUAGUGGCAGACGGGUGAGUAACACGUGGUCAACCUACCUCUUAGUGGGGGAUAACUAACCGAAAGGUUAGCUAAUACCGCAUUCGAUCUUCGAUCGGCAUCGAUUGAAGAUGAAAGGCGCAAGUCGCUAAGAGACGGGACCGCGUCCCAUUAGCUAGUUGGUAGGGUAAUGGCCUACCAAGGCGACGAUGGGUAGCUGGCUUGAGAGAGCGACCAGCCACACUGGGACUGAGACACGGCCCAGACUCCUACGGGAGGCAGCAGUGAGGAAUUUUCCGCAAUGGGCGCAAGCCUGACGGAGCGACGCCGCGUGUGGGAAGAAGGCCUUCGGGUCGUAAACCACUGUCGAAGGGGAGAUAUUGACGGUACCCUUGGAGGAAGCCCCGGCUAACUACGCGCCAGCAGCCGC
This 466-nucleotide ribosomal RNA is filed under the name uncultured bacterium. RNAcentral describes it as "SSU rRNA". It matches the Rfam family "Bacterial small subunit ribosomal RNA", at positions 26 to 518 of the family's 1533-position model. The record is from RNAcentral.